Molecule: transfer RNA, 75 nt
Filed under: Panaspis breviceps
Lineage: Eukaryota; Metazoa; Chordata; Lepidosauria; Squamata; Scincidae
Description: tRNA-Trp
Source: RNAcentral
UAAAGAAGUUUAGGUUAAACUUUUAAACCAGGGGCCUUCAAAGCUCCCAAUAAGGACUUACCCCCUUAACUUCUG